This 434-nucleotide ribosomal RNA is filed under the name uncultured bacterium. Its description in RNAcentral is "partial 16S ribosomal RNA". It matches the Rfam family "Bacterial small subunit ribosomal RNA", at positions 341 to 792 of the family's 1533-position model. The record is from RNAcentral.
ACGGGAGGCAGCAGUGGGGAAUAUUGGGCAAUGGGGGAAACCCUGACCCAGCAACGCCGCGUGAAGGAAGAAGGCUUUCGGGUUGUAAACUUCUUUUAUCAGGGAAGAUAAUGACGGUACCUGAUGAAUAAGCCACGGCUAACUACGUGCCAGCAGCCGCGGUAAUACGUAUGGUGCAAGCGUUAUCCGGAUUUACUGGGUGUAAAGGGUGCGUAGGUGGCAUGGCAAGUCUGAAGUGAAAUGCGGGGGCUCAACCCCUGAACUGCUUUGGAAACUGUCAAGCUAGAGUGCAGGAGAGGAAAGCGGAAUUCCUAGUGUAGCGGUGAAAUGCGUAGAUAUUAGGAGGAACACCAGUGGCGAAGGCGGCUUUCUGGACUGUAACUGACACUGAGGCACGAAAGCGUGGGGAGCAAACAGGAUUAGAUACCCUGGUA